UAGGGAAUCUUCCGCAAUGGACGCAAGUCUGACGGAGCAACGCCGCGUGAGUGAAGAAGGAUUUCGGUUCGUAAAACUCUGUUGUUAGAGAAGAACAGCGCAUAGAGUAACUGUUAUGCGUGUGACGGUAUCUAACCAGAAAGCCACGGCUAACUACGUGCCAGCAGCCGCGGUAAUACGUAGGUGGCAAGCGUUGUCCGGAUUUAUUGGGCGUAAAGCGCGCGCAGGCGGUCAAUUAAGUCUGAUGUGAAAGCCCCCGGCUCAACCGGGGAGGGUCAUUGGAAACUGGUUGACUUGAGUGCAGAAGAGGAGAGUGGAAUUCCAUGUGUAGCGGUGAAAUGCGUAGAUAUAUGGAGGAACACCAGUGGCGAAGGCGACUCUCUGGUCUGUAACUGACGCUGAGGCUCGAAAGCGUGGGUAGCAAACAGG
This 429-nucleotide ribosomal RNA is filed under the name Bacteroidota bacterium. Its description in RNAcentral is "Bacteroidetes bacterium partial 16S ribosomal RNA". It matches the Rfam family "Bacterial small subunit ribosomal RNA", at positions 355 to 776 of the family's 1533-position model. The record is from RNAcentral. Lineage: Bacteria; Pseudomonadati; Bacteroidota.